AGAGACAGCAGCCGCCGCGGUAAUACCGAGGGUGCGAGCGUUAAUCGGAUUUACUGGGCGUAAAGCGUGCGUAGGCGGCUUUUUAAGUCGGAUGUGAAAUCCCUGAGCUUAACUUAGGAAUUGCAUUCGAUACUGGGAAGCUAGAGUAUGGGAGAGGAUGGUAGAAUUCCAGGUGUAGCGGUGAAAUGCGUAGAGAUCUGGAGGAAUACCGAUGGCGAAGGCAGCCAUCUGGCCUAAUACUGACGCUGAGGUACGAAAGCAUGGGGAGCAAACAGGAUUAGAUACCCCAGUAGUCCCUGUCUCUUAUAC
Molecule: ribosomal RNA, 309 nt
Filed under: uncultured bacterium
Lineage: Bacteria
Description: partial 16S ribosomal RNA
Rfam family: Bacterial small subunit ribosomal RNA
Source: RNAcentral